AGUGAACGCUGGCGGUAGGCCUAACACAUGCAAGUCGAACGGCAGCACAGUAAGAGCUUGCUCUUACGGGUGGCGAGUGGCGGACGGGUGAGGAAUACAUCGGAAUCUACUUUUUCGUGGGGGAUAACGUAGGGAAACUUACUCUAAUACCGCAUACGACCUACGGGUGAAAGCAGGGGAUCUUCGGACCUUGCGCGAUUGAAUGAGCCGAUGUCGGAUUAGCUAGUUGGCGGGGUAAAGGCCCACCAAGGCGACGAUCCGUAGCUGGUCUGAGAGGAUGAUCAGCCACACUGGAACUGAGACACGGUCCAGACUCCUACGGGAGGCAGCAGUGGGGAAUAUUGGACAAUGGGCGCAAGCCUGAUCCAGCCAUACCGCGUGGGUGAAGAAGGCCUUCGGGUUGUAAAGCCCUUUUGUUGGGAAAGAAAGGCAGCAGGUUAAUACCCCGCUGUUCUGACGGUACCCAAAGAAUAAGCACCGGCUAACUUCGUG
Molecule: ribosomal RNA, 492 nt
Filed under: uncultured bacterium
Lineage: Bacteria
Description: partial 16S ribosomal RNA
Rfam family: Bacterial small subunit ribosomal RNA
Source: RNAcentral